UACGUAGGGUGCGAGCGUUGUCCGGAAUUAUUGGGCGUAAAGAGCUCGUAGGCGGUCUGUUGCGUCGGCUGUGAAAACCCGGGGCUCAACCCCGGGCCUGCAGCCGAUACGGGCAGACUAGAGUUCGGCAGGGGAGACUGGAAUUCCUGGUGCAGCGGUGAAAUGCGUAGAUAUCUGGAGGAACACCGGUGGCGAAGGCGGCAUCCUGGACCGGCAUUGACGCUGAGGCGCGAAAGCCAGGGGAGCAAACGGG
Molecule: ribosomal RNA, 253 nt
Filed under: uncultured bacterium
Lineage: Bacteria
Description: partial 16S ribosomal RNA
Rfam family: Bacterial small subunit ribosomal RNA
Source: RNAcentral